This 4917-nucleotide long non-coding RNA is filed under the name Populus tremula. RNAcentral describes it as "long non-coding RNA (PTRE_LNC001560)". The record is from RNAcentral. Lineage: Eukaryota; Viridiplantae; Streptophyta; Magnoliopsida; Malpighiales; Salicaceae.
AAUUGCAGUUUCGAAAUUUUGACGCUGGAUCCACCAAACUAUACAGCUACAUCAGAUGCCUUCACUCUCCACUGGAGAUGGUGAGCACUGAAUAAGCAAUUCGAAUCAAUUUAUUUUUUUACAGAAGAUAGGUUUUACUUUUACACAGAAAAUAUGUAGCUCCUACAUCAAGCUCCAAAGCCUGUGAAAGGAAAGCAGUAGUAUUUUGUCGUUGAAGUCCCACUUUGCAGCGCCAAAGAAAGGAAGAAACAAUGGAGUCAAGGGACCGGCACUCGGACUGCAGGGGGGCCUGAUUUCAUGUCCUCUAGUAUAAGAGCCAAGAGAGCCCGAGUUAUGGGUCCUUCUUUGCCUACAAAUGAAUGCACGCCAAAAUAUAAAUUUUAGGAAAAUUAUAAGUUUCCAACCGCAUUGCUUUUCAAAUAUGAUAAGGUUCCAACCGAAAUAUAAAUUUUAGGAAAAUGGCUUACAUAAGGGACAGAAUGAAAUGCAGCGCACUUGGAGUGAAAAGUAAGUGGCAAGGCAGUGCAAAGAGGGAGAAAACAUAGUACAAUCAUUUACCAAAGUUUUCCAGUCAUGUGCUUCUGUGAAUUUAGCAUUUGUGAGCUUCGAAAGGGGCCUCCAAUGGAAGAUUUAUGGUACAGUGGAUGUACCAAAGUUUCGGCCAUACAAAAAGAAAACUCAGCAACAAGAAAACAGUCAUGCACGUACUUUCAUCAUGGCUAAAGAGCCACCCACAAUGGAUGGCAUCCUAUUGAUUUAAUGGAAAGUACCCUUGCUUUGUACUCUGAAUUGAAGAGAAGCAAGAAAAAAUUUCGAUCAAUUUUAUAAGGUUCUGAAAGCCAUGUUGGCUCAAUAUCAACCUAGCAUCAUGCUUGCAUGUAAAAUCCAGCUUGAAGGAUGCAUAGUUUAUUGCAGAGAAGUUUCUUACCAUCACCAAUGACCUGAUUGUCCCACUGCACCACAGGGCGAACAAGUACUCCACUGCCAAUAAGCAUCAUCUCAUCUGCUUUCUUUCCUUCCUCUUCAGUCACAUCAUCAAUCUUUAUUCCAUGGAGUUUACCCUCCUUUACCAGUCCCUCUGCUAGUGUCAAAACUCUCUUUGCCGUGCACCCACUCAAAAUUUUGUCAAAGGCGGGCAUCAGAAGGUCUUUUUCCUUGGUAACAAAUGCUACAUUCAUGCUGGGCCCUUCAGCAACGAAUCCAUCAUUAUCCAGCCAAAUAGAUGCAUAUGCAUCAUUCUCUUCUGCUUCCAUCUUUGAAAGUGCAUUGGGAAGGUAAUUUACACUUUUCACGGUGGCAAAUUGCGGGGGUUUUAUUGGGACUGAAGAAGUUACUACCUUGAUGCCUCUUGAAUCAUGUGGAGACUGAUCUUGGAUUACAAUGGCAUAAAGAGCUGGCUGAUGGCAGUCAGAUGGAGAUAGUUGGAAAUCACCAGGUCCUGCCGAGAGCCAGUAUCUUAGUGAUCCUGUCUUGCACUUUGAAGCACUCACUGUUUGUAUGAGUAUUCUCCUUAUAUUUUCCCUAUCAAAAGGGAGAUUGAUUUUGGCCAAGGAUGCUGACCUUAAUAUACGAUCAAGGUGUUGGUCGAAUUCAUAUAAGUGCCUGAGAUGUGGUAACAGAUGAGGAUCUUGAUUAGCAAUUAAUACUUGAUUGAAAGCUAAGUGAGGAAUACUUGUUCAAAUGGAAAUAUCAAUGAUUCAUCAACAUAUUACCGCAUGUUUUCCUUUUUUCAGUUGCCAAAGCAGUUUAAUUUUCUUGUCCUUAAAAUUUAGAUGAUGAUUGUUCCAUCAUAUGCAUUGCAGAAAAUGUUCGAAGAAUCGUAUGAAACAGGGAGGUAAAAUAAUAUACUUGAAAUACAAUGAGGUUAAAAAUGCAAAACUUGGAAAUUGUACGGUUGCACAAAAUCAGCAUUUUAAAGGAAUAUUAAAGAACUUGGAAAUUGUACUGUUUCCUGCAAAACUUCAAGAGCUUGCAACCAUUUAAAAUGUGAACCAAGCUUGACAGAUACAAUAGAAUCAAGAGUUGAAUUAGUGGAGCCAAGAACUGUUUAUACUGUAACUGUAAGACAUUGUCACGUUGAAUCCUUAUAAACUUAAACAUAAUAUUAUGCCUGUGCUUUGCUAUUUGAGCUUUUGGAGCAUUGGUAGUAUAACCAAUAGACUUAGAAACAUGAAAUUCGUUUACAGGUCUUGGUAGUUCAAUGGAUGCAAACAGCAUAAUACUAUUCCUACUUAUGAAUAACAAAAAAAACUUCGAAUUGUCUAUAAUAGUAUUAGACUAUUCAAGAAGAAAAGGUAAUCCAUCUGAAAAGUAAAUUAUACCAACCCAUCUACUAUUGCAGCAGUAUCAAAGACACCAUGUCCCCUGUGGACCAUGUGGUCAUCCAAAGGUAUCACCAUGGCUGAUGUAUCUGUUGUUAUUCCUCCAAAAAUGCUAGAGUACAUGGCCAAGAAUUGCUGCUUUCCUUUCUGAUUUUCUCGGUUUUUCUUUAGCCUUUCAAAAGCCUUCAAAAACAUAUAUAUAAAUGGCAUUUAACCAAGCCUUCCCCUUCUCCCAUUGCACCAAAAUGGAAUCAGACCAAAAAAAGUUUCUAAGCAAUUAAGGAAUACAUCUUGACUUUUAAUCUUUAAUAUAAAACAGAAAUGUCCUCCACUAACACCAAAUUAAGCCCAGAUCAACAAAACUAUGCAACUUGUAUUCACUAUUAUAGCAUCGCUUUAAGGACUAAUCAAUUUUCACCAAUCUCUCUCCAUAACACAAUUUAAAAUCUACUCUUAUUUAGCAGUAAAGUACAGUGAACCGUUUAUUUUUUAAGAGAGAGAGAGAGAGGACGAACCUCUAAGCAGGUUAGGAUUGGAACAUCAGAGAUUUGAGUAUUAGAAUCUGUCACCGCAAAGGAAAGACAUUAGUAUUAAAUUUCUCACUAGUCUUUACAUUCUAUGAUUUGUAGAGUAGAAAUUGAAAUCUAAGGAAGCCAGUAAGGGAUCACAUGGCAUGGUGACUGGUUGAAUUUUCAAAGAACACAACUUACCAACCAAAGCUUCAGCUUGAUGAGAGCAUCUAGCAAUCUUCACUUUCCCAAACAACCCAUGUUGUGAAAUCAACCCAAGUCUUUGAAAUGAAAGAUUUCUCGGUACAAGACACGAAUUAUGAAAGUGAUCAGGCAGAUUUAUGCUAGUAUUUGGGUGUUGAAAACUGGGUUUUGGCAGAGAAGUUGAAAGAGAAGCCAUGGGACCCCAAACUAGUGAGAGAGUUUCUUCAAACUGCGGCUUGAUCGUAGGUUGAUGGUGGUGAUGAUUAGUGUUUUAAAGUGCAGUGUUGGUGACUUCAUGUGAAUGGAUUCCAAAGGAAAAGGCAGUGCUAGUGUAUAAAUUUCGCCGGCGGAGAUUUAUAUAGAAAGGGUAAACUACAGUUAUACCCUCUUACUAUUUUAUAAAUUUCGGUUUGGUCCUUCUCCCACUGAUUUACCAGCUCAACCUAUCAAAAUUGCAAGUAGUCUCUCCCCUCCCACGGUUCCUUCUCCCACUGAUUUACCGACUCAACCUAUCCAAAUUGCAAAUAAUCUUCCAAACCGUGGUUUCUACAUAAUUAUAAUAAAAAAUUAUAGUUAGAGAGUCAGAUUAUGGUGAAAAACAAAGAAGAAUGUAGACAAACAACUAUUUUUCAAGGACAAAACUCGUUGAUCUCAGUAAACUCUAUUUAAAUAUAAAAGUUUUAUUUAAAUUUUGUUUUUUUUAUUUUAUUUACUGAAAAUUAAAAAAGUAGAUUGGAUCUCAUAGAUGUUUAUGAAUCGGGUUGAUCAUUUAUUUUUUAGUUGAUGAGAUGGUGAUUUAAUAGUAAAAAUGGAUUUUUUAAGGUUUUAUGAUGUUUUUUUAUAUAUUUUCAGAUGGAAUAAAAGUGAAAAUUAGAUUUUUUUACCUUUUAGAGUCGGUUGUCUAAUUUUAUAGUCAUUAUUUAAAAUAGCAAGUGAGACGUUGCUUACUAUUUAAAAAAAUUAAAAACCAAUAAGGGCAAACCUUAAAAAAAUAAAAUAUAAUUAAAAAAAGUUACAAACAAUUGUGUUGACCUUUUUUUAAAGUCCAAGCAUGAUCGGGCAACUUCGUCAAUGAACCUAACUUUUUUAAAAAAAGAAUUAUCUUUCAAAACUAAGUCUUGAUUGAUUUUUCUUGUUGAGUUUUUUAUAAUUUUAUCCUUUAAUAAUUUGUUUUAUUUUGAUAAUUAUAAGUUUUUUACGGUGUAAAAAAAAAUACCCUUAUAUUUGAUUAAUAUUUAAUUUUACGAGUAUCAAUUUUUUUAUAUAAAUAAAUAAAAAAUAAUUUUAAAAUAAACAAAGUUACUGAACCUAGUGAAGUCCAUCCCUUGGAUUAUAUAUUUAGCAUGGUACCCUGUUUUCUAUAUUUUCUUGAAAAUGACUCGCCCCACUUGUAAUUUCUUUAAGAAAAUCCAUUUAAUUAUGUUUUUCAAGUGAUCUAGAUCCUCUGUUUAUCUUGCAGUAAGCAAGCAUAUCCACUGCAGGUCACUUUGCAGGAUGAAAGAAAACCUUAGCACUGCACCAUAAUGUACCCUUUACCUUCUUUGAUAACAAGGAAAGGGGGGAGAUAUGGAUGUAUUUCUUUGAAAUGUAAUUUGAAGUUGACUGUAAAUUGCAGUUUCGAAAUUUUGACGCUGGAUCCACCAAACUAUACAGCUACAUCAGAUGCCUUCACUCUCCACUGGAGAUGGUGAGCACUGAAUAAGCAAUUCGAAUCAAUUUAUUUUUUUACAGAAGAUAGGUUUUGCUUUUACACAGAAAAUAUGUAGCUCCUACAUCAAGCUCCAAAGCCUGUGAAAGGAAAGCAGUAGUAUUUUGUCGUUGAAGUCCCACUUUGCAGCACCAAAGAAAGGAAGAAAUAAUGGAGUCAAGGGACCGGAACUCGG